CUGGGGGAUCUUGCGCAUGGGCGAAGCCUGACCAGCGACGCCGCGUGAGGGAUGACGGCCUUCGGGUUGUAAACCUCUUUCAGCUCCGACGAAGCGGAAGUGACGGUAGGAGCAGAAGAAGCACCGGCCAACUACGUGCCAGCAGCCGCGGUAAUACGUAGGGUGCAAGCGGUUGUCCGGAUUUAUUGGGCGUAAAGAGCUCGUAGGCGGUCUGCUGUCGCGUCGGCUGUGAAAACUCGGGGCUCAACUCCGAGCUUGCAGUCGAAACCGGGCAGGCUAGAGUUCGGCAGGGGAGACUGGAAUUCCUGGUGUAGCGGUGAAAUGCGCAGAUAUCAGGAGGAACACCGGUGGCGAAGGCGGGUCUCUGGGCCGAUACUGACGCUGAGGAGCGAAAGCGUGGGGAGCGAACAGGAUUAGAUACCCUGGUAGUCCACGCCGUAAACGUUGGGCGCUAGGUGGGGGAUCCCUUCACGGGUUCCGUGCCGCAGCUAACGCAUUAAGCGCCCCGCCUGGGGA
This 516-nucleotide ribosomal RNA is filed under the name uncultured bacterium. Its description in RNAcentral is "bacterial SSU rRNA". It matches the Rfam family "Bacterial small subunit ribosomal RNA", at positions 354 to 879 of the family's 1533-position model. The record is from RNAcentral.